Molecule: transfer RNA, 78 nt
Filed under: Pseudomonadota bacterium
Lineage: Bacteria; Pseudomonadati; Pseudomonadota
Description: Proteobacteria bacterium tRNA-Ile
Rfam family: tRNA
About the family: Transfer RNA (tRNA) molecules are approximately 80 nucleotides in length. Their secondary structure includes four short double-helical elements and three loops (D, anti-codon, and T loops). Further hydrogen bonds mediate the characteristic L-shaped molecular structure. tRNAs have two regions of fundamental functional importance: the anti-codon, which is responsible for specific mRNA codon recognition, and the 3' end, to which the tRNAs corresponding amino acid is attached (by aminoacyl-tRNA synthetases). tRNAs cope with the degeneracy of the genetic code in two manners: having more than one tRNA (with a specific anti-codon) for a particular amino acid; and 'wobble' base-pairing, i.e. permitting non-standard base-pairing at the 3rd anti-codon position.
Source: RNAcentral
GGGCCCUUAGCUCAGCUGGGUUAGAGCAGCCGACUCAUAAUCGGUAGGUCGCAGGUUCAAGUCCUGCAGGGCCCACCA